GUCUUUUUGAAUAUAAUUUAAAGUCUAAUCUGCCCACUGAUAAAUAUUAAAGGGCUGCAGUAUAUUGACUGUACAAAGGUAGCAUAAUCAUUAGUUUUUUAAUUGAAAACUUGUAUGAAAGAUUUGAUGAAAUAUGAACUGUCUCUUGGUUAUUAUUAAAAAUUUAUUUUUUAGUUAAAAAGCUAAAAUAAUUUUAAAAGACGAGAAGACCCUAUAGAGUUUUAUAUUUAACUAUAUUUUAAAAAUAUAUAAAAAUUAAUAUUAAAUAUAUUUGAAUAUUAUAUUGGGGUGAUAGAAAAAUUAAAUUAACUUUUUUUAAAUUUUAAACAUUAAUAAAUGAUAAAAUGAUCCAUUAAUAAUGAUUAUAAGAAAAAAUUACCUUAGGGAUAACAGCGUAAUGUUUUUUUUUAGUUCAAAUAGAAAAGAAAGUUUGCGACCUCGAUGUUGGAUUAAGAUAAAAUUUAAAUGCAAAAGUUUAAAAUUUUGAUCUGUUCGAUCAUUAAAAUCUU
Molecule: ribosomal RNA, 509 nt
Filed under: Tatinga tibetana
Lineage: Eukaryota; Metazoa; Arthropoda; Insecta; Lepidoptera; Nymphalidae
Description: partial 16S ribosomal RNA
Rfam family: Bacterial large subunit ribosomal RNA (bases 386-509)
Source: RNAcentral